UAGGUGUAGGGAACUGAAAAGGACCGACCUUCGGGAGCCUAUACAGGUGUUGCAUGGCUGUCGUCAGCUCGUGUCGUGAGAUGUUCGGUUAAGUCCGCUAACGAGCGCAACCCUCGUCGUAUGUUAUAUGUGUCAUACGAGACUGCCGGUAAAAGCCGGAGGAAGGUGAGGAUGAUGUCAAGUCAGCAUGACCUUUAUAUCCAGGGCUACACACACGCUACAAUGGUCUGUACAAUGGGUAGCCAAGCCGCGAGGCGGAGCCAAUCCUGAAAGCAGGCCUCAGUUCAGAUUGCAGUCUGCAACUCGACUGCAUGAAGUUGGAGUUGCUAGUAAACGCAGGUCAGCCAUACUGCGUUGAAUACCGGUUCCCGGGGCUU
Molecule: ribosomal RNA, 377 nt
Filed under: uncultured Anaerolineaceae bacterium
Lineage: Bacteria; Bacillati; Chloroflexota; Anaerolineae; Anaerolineales; Anaerolineaceae
Description: bacterial SSU rRNA
Rfam family: Bacterial small subunit ribosomal RNA
Source: RNAcentral